Molecule: long non-coding RNA, 733 nt
Filed under: Homo sapiens (human)
Lineage: Eukaryota; Metazoa; Chordata; Mammalia; Primates; Hominidae
Description: HSALNT0117307
Source: RNAcentral
GGUGGGCGACCCUUGGGGGGCAUGGGCAGGUGAGUGGCCCUUCAGGGGCGUGGCAUGUGCAGGUGGGCAGCCCUUCCAAGGGCGCGGCCAGGCAGUUGGGCGGCUCUUCCAGGGACAUGGGCAGAUGGGCCACCCUUGGGGUGCAUGGGCAGUGGAGCAGCCACCGGCCCUGACCUGGACCACGUGCUGGGCGCCUCCUGGCAGCCCGUUCUGCUCCCGAAUGCCCCGGCUUAGUCAGUCUGGGAUGCGGCCCUGGACACCGGGCUUUAUGCAGCUCUGAAGUGAUCCCAGCACACAGCCCGGGUCAAGCUCAGCGCUCGGCAACCAUAGGCACCCAACAACGGGCUGCAGCCAUCAGUAACAACGGCAGCUCCAACGCCCAGAGAACUCACGGAGCAGACACACAUCAGAUGAAGACGCGGAGGCCUGAGCGCUGGGGGUCGCCCGGGGCUGCACAGCGGGUCAGAGGCCAACCCUGGGCGGAGCCAGGCCACACCCUCCCUCAAGGAUUCACAGUCUCCCCAAAGUAACCGCAACGAGGGACCCUCCCGUCACCAAACUUCCUUUCAGUCACUUCCGCUUGUACUAAUUCUGGCCCAACCGUUCAUUAUAUUUUUACAAUUCUUAUCUUGGUGUGUAUUUUUUGACCCUAAAAAUCCUAACUCCAUUCCAUCAAUAUUUUGUAUAUGCAGAUUUCUAGCACAGUAAGUCAUAAAAUGUGCCUCUCCUGGCA